CUACGGGAGGCACCAGUGGGGAAUCUUAGACAAUGGGCGCAAGCCUGAUCUAGCCAUGCCGCGUGAGCGAUGAAGGCCUUAGGGUUGUAAAGCUCUUUCAGCGAGGAAGAUAAUGACUGUACUCGCAGAAGAAGCCCCGGCUAACUCCGUGCCAGCAGCCGCGGUAAUACGGAGGGGGCUAGCGUUGUUCGGAAUUACUGGGCGUAAAGCGCACGUAGGCGGAUCAGAAAGUCAGAGGUGAAAUCCCAGGGCUCAACCUUGGAACUGCCUUUGAAACUCCUGAUCUUGAGUUCGAGAGAGGUGAGUGGAAUUCCGAGUGUAGAGGUGAAAUUCGUAGAUAUUCGGAGGAACACCAGUGGCGAAGGCGGCUCACUGGCUCGAUACUGACGCUGAGGUGCGAAAGCGUGGGGAGCAAACAGGAUUAGAUACCCGUGUAGUC
RNAcentral lists this ribosomal RNA (439 nucleotides) under uncultured bacterium. Its description in RNAcentral is "partial 16S ribosomal RNA". It matches the Rfam family "Bacterial small subunit ribosomal RNA", at positions 339 to 795 of the family's 1533-position model. The record is from RNAcentral.